RNAcentral lists this ribosomal RNA (248 nucleotides) under uncultured bacterium. Its description in RNAcentral is "partial 16S ribosomal RNA". It matches the Rfam family "Bacterial small subunit ribosomal RNA", at positions 107 to 353 of the family's 1533-position model. The record is from RNAcentral.
UGAGUAACGCGUGGAUAACCUGCCUCACACUGGGGGAUAACAGUUAGAAAUGGCUGCUAAUACCGCAUAAGCGCACAGUACCGCAUGGUACGGUGUGAAAAACCCAGGUGGUGUGAGAUGGAUCCGCGUCUGAUUAGCCAGUUGGCGGGGUAACGGCCCACCAAAGCGACGAUCAGUAGCCGACCUGAGAGGGUGACCGGCCACAUUGGGACUGAGACACGGCCCAAACUCCUACGGGAGGCAGCAUG